This 577-nucleotide ribosomal RNA is filed under the name uncultured bacterium. Its description in RNAcentral is "bacterial SSU rRNA". The stretch from base 1 to 510 matches the Rfam family "Bacterial small subunit ribosomal RNA", at positions 338 to 873 of the family's 1533-position model. The record is from RNAcentral.
CCUACGGGAGGCAGCAGUGGGGAAUCUUGCGCAAUGGGGGCAACCCUGACGCAGCCAUGCCGCGUGAAUGAUGAAGGCCUUAGGGUUGUAAAGUUCUUUUGCCCGUGACGAUGAUGACGGUAACGGGAGAAUAAGCUCCGGCUAACUUCGUGCCAGCAGCCGCGGUAAUACGAAGGGGGCUAGCGUUGUUCGGAAUUACUGGGCGUAAAGCGCGCGCAGGCGGUUCGAUAAGUUAGGGGUGAAAUCCCUGGGCUCAACCCAGGAAUGGCCUUUAAGACUGUCGAGCUAGAGGACGAGAGAGGUGAGUGGAAUUCCCAGUGUAGAGGUGAAAUUCGUAGAUAUUGGGAAGAACACCGGUGGCGAAGGCGGCUCACUGGCUCGUUUCUGACGCUGAGGCGCGAAAGCGUGGGGAGCAAACAGGAUUAGAUACCCUGGUAGUCCACGCCCUAAACGAUGAGUGCCAGUGUCGGAGCUAGUCUCUCGCGCGCAGCUACGACUACGCACUCCGCCGUGGAGGUACGGCGCGAGUAAACUACAAGAAGUAGAGCNGAGAGNGCGACGACGACGACGAGGAGAG